RNAcentral lists this non-coding RNA (29 nucleotides) under Mus musculus (house mouse). Lineage: Eukaryota; Metazoa; Chordata; Mammalia; Rodentia; Muridae. The record is from RNAcentral.
UAGCAGGUGAUCAGUAUGGAUGUCAAAGA